This 468-nucleotide ribosomal RNA is filed under the name uncultured bacterium. RNAcentral describes it as "partial 16S ribosomal RNA". It matches the Rfam family "Bacterial small subunit ribosomal RNA", at positions 28 to 507 of the family's 1533-position model. The record is from RNAcentral.
GACGAACGCUGGCGGCGUGCUUAACACAUGCAAGUCGAACGGAAAGGCCCUGCUUUUUGGGGGUGCUCGAGUGGCGAACGGGUGAGUAACACGUGAGUAACCUGCCCUUGACUUUGGGAUAACUUCAGGAAACUGGGGCUAAUACCGGAUCGGAGCUCCUGCUGCAUGGUGGGGGUUGGACAGUUUCGGCGGUUGGGGAUGGACUCGCGGCUUAUCAGCUUGGUGGUGGGGUAGUGGCUUACCAAGGCCUUGACGGGUAGCCGGCCUGAGAGGGUGACCGGCCACAUUGGGACUGAGAUACGGCCCAGACUCCUACGGGAGGCAGCAGUGGGGAAUAUUGCACAAUGGGCGGAAGCCUGAUGCAGCAACGCCGCGUGCGGGAUGACGGCCUUCGGGUUGUAAACCGCUUUCGCCUGUGACGAAGCGUGAGUGACGGUAAUGGGUAAAGAAGCACCGGCUAACUACGUG